AAAAAAGCAGGGUCUAUUUCCUUCAUAUAUAAUUGGCCUCCUGUAAACUUUAGGGAGAUGAUGUACAUUGUUUAUUGGGUGAACCUUUGUAGACUUUGUUUGUGACAAAAGGUUCGGUAAACAAUGGAACAUUG
Molecule: small nucleolar RNA, 134 nt
Organism: Elaeis guineensis (African oil palm)
Lineage: Eukaryota; Viridiplantae; Streptophyta; Magnoliopsida; Arecales; Arecaceae
Product: small nucleolar RNA snoR74
Source: RefSeq, a predicted model, not a curated record